RNAcentral lists this transfer RNA (77 nucleotides) under Pseudomonadota bacterium. RNAcentral's name for it is "tRNA-Arg". It matches the Rfam family "tRNA". From Rfam's summary of the family: Transfer RNA (tRNA) molecules are approximately 80 nucleotides in length. Their secondary structure includes four short double-helical elements and three loops (D, anti-codon, and T loops). Further hydrogen bonds mediate the characteristic L-shaped molecular structure. tRNAs have two regions of fundamental functional importance: the anti-codon, which is responsible for specific mRNA codon recognition, and the 3' end, to which the tRNAs corresponding amino acid is attached (by aminoacyl-tRNA synthetases). tRNAs cope with the degeneracy of the genetic code in two manners: having more than one tRNA (with a specific anti-codon) for a particular amino acid; and 'wobble' base-pairing, i.e. permitting non-standard base-pairing at the 3rd anti-codon position. The record is from RNAcentral. Lineage: Bacteria; Pseudomonadati; Pseudomonadota.
GUGCCCAUAGCUCAGCUGGAUAGAGCACCAGCCUUCUAAGCUGGGGGUCGCAGGUUCGAAUCCUGCUGGGCACGCCA